AAAAAAAAAAAAUAGAAGUGCAGAUUUUUUUUCUUCAUUCUUCAUUCUCUAACUUCUCUCUACUUUCUCUCUCAUUUUCCUUUACUUUCUUGGAGGCCAAACACCACACCUUUGCUCCACCCUUACACCACCACCUUGACCCACCAUCUCCACCACCUCCGGCCACCUUAUCUCGCCGGAAAAAAGGGGUCCGGUCGGCACUCCUUGAAUCCAUCCGAAAAUAACACAAUAGAAGCACCAACUCUAGAUUUUUUCUUAAUCUUUUGAAGAAUCAAAGCAUGGGAUUUAUUUUCUUGAUGGAUUAGAGGCUUGUAAUUGGAUUGGAGGAAGGCAUCUCUACACCUCUUGGAAAUUAAUUUGUAUAGUUUCAAAUCUACACUUUUGCUAUUUUUGGAGAUUCAUAGACUUUUGUGUGGCUCGCCUCAACUUGGAAGACUAGAAUUUUUGAAGGAUCACAGGUGGGCAUCUUGUGGUUGAGGUUUUGCUUAGGGUCAUUCUAGGACGUAAGCUUACCCUUUUUUUUUUAUGAAGGAGGUUGAUUGUAAAAAUUGCUUAUGAAGUUGGAUGUAUUGAUGGAUUCGUGAUUAGUAUGUAUUACAUUUUU
Camellia sinensis is the source of this 604-nucleotide non-coding RNA. Lineage: Eukaryota; Viridiplantae; Streptophyta; Magnoliopsida; Ericales; Theaceae. The record is from RefSeq and is a predicted model, not a curated record.